CGGAACGUGCCCAGUCGUGGGGGAUAACGCAGCGAAAGCUGUGCUAAUACCGCAUACGAUCUCUGGAUGAAAGCGGGGGACUCGCAAGGGCCUCGCGCGAUUGGAGCGGCCGAUAUCAGAUUAGCUAGUUGGUGGGGUAAAGGCUCACCAAGGCGACGAUCUGUAGCUGGUCUGAGAGGACGACCAGCCACACUGGAACUGAGACACGGUCCAGACUCCUACGGGAGGCAGCAGUGGGGAAUAUUGGACAAUGGGCGAAAGCCUGAUCCAGCCAUGCCGCGUGUGUGAAGAAGGUCUUCGGAUUGUAAAGCACUUUAAGUUGGGAGGAAGGGCAUUAACCUAAUACGUUAGUGUUUUGACGUUACCGACAGAAUAA
RNAcentral lists this ribosomal RNA (376 nucleotides) under uncultured bacterium. Its description in RNAcentral is "bacterial SSU rRNA". It matches the Rfam family "Bacterial small subunit ribosomal RNA", at positions 119 to 489 of the family's 1533-position model. The record is from RNAcentral.